AUGAACUAACUCCUCAUCAACCAAUGUAGCCUCUAUCGAUGGUGGUGAUGAUGCAACAAGUGGUACUACAGGUGGGGUGGAUGGCACCUCCAUAAGUGUAAUAGGAGUCUCUUGAACAAGUGGCAGGCUAAUGUCAAUCGAUGGUGCAUCUCUAAGAACAGAUGUAUGCCUAGUCCCUCUCGUAUGAGCCCCUCGCCCUCUAGUCCGUACACCUCCUGAUCGAGUAAUGGAUGAUAUCGGCUGCUGAUGAGGUAGUGGACUACUCCUGGUAUGAGGCCCUCCUCCUCUAGUCCGUACACCUCCUGAUCGAGUAAUGGAUGAUAU
This 324-nucleotide long non-coding RNA is filed under the name Vitis vinifera (wine grape). RNAcentral's name for it is "long non-coding RNA (VVIN_LNC002880)". The record is from RNAcentral. Lineage: Eukaryota; Viridiplantae; Streptophyta; Magnoliopsida; Vitales; Vitaceae.